CUACGGGUCGCUGCAGUGGGGAAUAUUGCACAAUGGGGGGAACCCUGAUGCAGCAACGCCGCGUGGAGGAUGACACAUUUCGGUGCGUAAACUCCUUUUAUAUAAGAAGAUAAUGACGGUAUUAUAUGAAUAAGCACCGGCUAACUCCGUGCCAGCAGCCGCGGUAAUACGGGGGGUGCAAGCGUUACUCGGAAUCACUGGGCGUAAAGAGCAUGUAGGCUGGUUAGUAAGUUGGAAGUGAAAUCCUAUGGCUUAACCAUAGAACUGCUUCCAAAACUACUAACCUAGAAUAUGGGAGAGGUAGAUGGAAUUUCUGGUGUAGGGGUAACAUCCGUAGAGAUCAGAAGGAAUACCGAUUGCGAAGGCGAUCUACUGGAACAUUAUUGACGCUCAGAUGCGAAAGCGUGGGGAGCAAACAGGAUUAGAUACCCGGGUAGUC
This 439-nucleotide ribosomal RNA is filed under the name uncultured bacterium. RNAcentral's name for it is "partial 16S ribosomal RNA". It matches the Rfam family "Bacterial small subunit ribosomal RNA", at positions 339 to 795 of the family's 1533-position model. The record is from RNAcentral.